This 320-nucleotide unclassified non-coding RNA is filed under the name Hevea brasiliensis (rubber tree). Lineage: Eukaryota; Viridiplantae; Streptophyta; Magnoliopsida; Malpighiales; Euphorbiaceae. The record is from RNAcentral.
UGAGCCCUGGGGGCGUCCAUAUCCUACCUUGAUACCUGAAGACUCAUUGGAUACAUCGAACACGCCUUCCUGGAUAUUCUGACGGAUCUUUCCUGCAGUCCUUAUGAAGGCCUACAAUAAAAAAUUUAAUAGAUUAGUUUGUACAAUAUUAAGCCCUCUACUAUCUCAGUUAGAUUACACCAAGGUUCAGCUAUAAGCUUUUACCUUUUCACAUUAGUUUUAGAUAAAUUGAUAAAACAUAUACAAGAGAGUAUCUCUUGGUGCAUGAUAUUUGUGGAUGAUAUAAUUCUGAUAAAUGAGACGCGAGAAGGAGUCAAUAA